GUCCCUGUAGCGCAAUACAUAGCGCUUUGGACUUCUCAUCCAAAUGUCAUGGGUUCGAAUCCCAUCUGGGAUG
Molecule: non-coding RNA, 73 nt
Organism: Trichonephila clavipes
Lineage: Eukaryota; Metazoa; Arthropoda; Arachnida; Araneae; Nephilidae
Source: the annotation of a GenBank genome assembly